CAAAUAUUCCCUCAAGUUCUAUCGACCAGCGAUACAACUCUACAAGCACUUAACAUUUUGUGACGCCCCCGAUUCAAUCAUACACUAAUCAUAGACGCAAAUGUGUACGAUCAAGAUCAGGGACUCACGGGAAGAUAUCAUAACACAACUCUAGACACAAAUUAAAAUAAUACAAGCUUUAUAUUACAAGCCAGGGGCCUCGAGGGAUUGAAUACAUCAUCUCGAAUACACAAGAGUCAGCGGAAGCAACAAUAUCUGAGUACAAACAUAAGUUAAACAAGAUCCGCCUUAAGAAGGCUAGCACAAAAAUCAACGAUCAAAAAGGCAAGGCCUCCUGCCUGGGAGCCUCCUAACUACACCUAGUCGUCGGUGGCCUCCACGUAGUAGAAGGCACCCUCGGGAUAGUAGUAGUCGUCGGUGGUGGCAUCUCGCUCCUGGGAUCCAUCAUCUGAUCGCAACAUCCGGAAGGAAGAAAGUAGGAUGAAAAAGGGUAGCAAAGCAACCUUCAGUACUCACCCUAAGUACUCGCAAGACUUACAUCAGAUCUAUACUAGUAUGCAUCGGUAUCAAAGGGAAGGGGCUCGAUCUAUGGAAUAUACUAUAGAAUGCCAGAAUAGAAGGGAAGGCCUAGCCUAUCGAAGACUAGCAUCUACAAGCAUCUUGCAGAAUCAAAAGAGAUAAGAGUAGCAUAUUAUAAUUAACAAGUAUGUUGUACCAUUAGCACCCAGAGAUCCUUUCUCAACUCCCUGCGAGAAAGCAAUCUCGGAGCCAACAUAUCCCAUCAUCAGCUCAGUAUCCGGUUCUAGUUGUAUAGAUCGGGAUACAACUCCAAGUCAUCAUGUUACCGAGGACACGGCUAUUCGAAUAGAUUAACUUCCCAGCAGGGGUGCACCACUUUACCAACAUGCUCGAUCACUCUGGCCAGACACACUUUCCUGGGUCAUGCCCGGCCUCAGAAGAUCAACACGUCGUAGCCCUACCUAGGCUCAACACAGAGGCGAACACGCCGGUCUAAAUCCUAAGCAUGCAGGGGUCUUGGGCCCAUCGUCCAUUGCACUCCUACAUGUUGCGAACGCGGCUGGUGAGCAGACCUGGCAACCUCAAUUACAAAGGCGGUUGCUUUACACGGUCCAACCCGACGCACGCCGCUCAGUCGUUGACGUCUGGAAAGCUCCGACUGAUACUACGACGCCGAUUGCCCAUAUCUUGUCCCGCGUGGUGGUUAGUGCAUAUAGGACAAUGGCCAACUCAAAUCAAAUACCCAAAUCGUUAGUGUCUUGGGGGCGCGCAGAAAUGAGCAGAGACUCAUGAUCAUGUGACCCCGUCACCCCGUCUCGUGGACUUAUGGCAAGGGCCCGGAAUGCCCGGCCGUGCCACGUAGAAAUCUCGCGGGUACCCUCCAGGUCAACCCGAGUACACAUCAACUCGCGAGUACCCCUCAGGGCCGACCCGACUUCAACAUGGUUCUGUGGUAAAGUCAAAGUAACCGUGUGUCCAAUACACCAAGGGGGAAUCCAAGGAAUCACCCUCUAUGGAAUCCACCUGAAGUAAUUGUCAAGGUGAACUAGGAGGAAUCACCCUCGAGGUUCACGCUUGAGGUGUUGCACGAAAGAGUCGUAUCGGGAGUAGUGAAGGAGGAAUCACCCUCUAUGACCACGGCCGAAUAGCUACACUACAGAGUUAACAUCAGAAGUGCUAUACGAGGUAUCACCCUCGGCACUCGAUAGUAGCUCUGCAAAGUCAUACAACUAAGGGGGGGAUGUGAUGUGAUGUGUCGGGCCCUGGACGUCAAUCACGUUGAUCGAGUCAUCGAACAUGAAGCGGGGGCAUCAGGGACAAGGUGAGGGUCCACUGAUGGAACACUAACGGGCCUAUACUAAAUAGUUUAGGAUAAGCAGGUAAGGUACAAGAGCAGGUUACAACAGCAGGCUAUGCAUUAGAAUAGGAGCAAUCAAGUGUAGUAGCAAAAUCUAAUGCAAACAUGAGAGAGAAUGGAAUGGGUGAUAUCGGAAUGAUCAAGGGGGGUUUGCUUGCCUGGAAGCUCUGUUGAUAAGGAAGGGUCGUCGUCGACGUAGUCAAUCAGUGACAUCGAGGGGUCUAGCGGAGAGAAGAGGGGGAAGAAACAAUAAAUAUAAAGUAGACAAAGCAUCACAAAGCAUAACAUGGCAAUACGAUGUGCUAGGGGUGAGCUAUCGCAGUGCUACAUGAUACAGGUGAAGGGGGAAAACAUCCGGAAAUGUUACCCAUCGUUUGGCAUUUUCCGGACAGACGAAGAGAGGGGACGUUUCCAUGUUCAUCAUGCUAGAGGCAUGUGACACAUGAACGGAUUGCAUAUUCAGAUUCGUUGUAUUUUUCUGAGCAACUUUCAUAUAUAAAUUAUUUUCAUCCGAGUUAUGGUUUAUUUCAUAUUAAUUUUUAAAGUUUUAUUCUGGAUUUUACGGAAUUCUUUUUAAUUCGAAAAUUAAAUGUAAAAGCUAUGUGUACCCACUGUGUGCACAGCCAGAGAGGCUGACAGGUGGGCCAGGGGGUUGCUGACUCAGCAGGUCAAUCGGUCAAUGUUGACCAGUCAAACUGGCAGGUGGGGACCACUUGUGAGUGACACAUGUUUUUCAACAGGUUAAAUAAACUAGUUUAAUUAGUAGUAGGCCCCACUGUCAUGGAGUAGACUAAUCAAAACAUUAAACUAAUUCCUAAACUAAUCAUGUUCAAUUACCUAAUCUAAUCUAAAUGGGGGCCGGACCCAACAUGGCAGUGGGCCAACCGGAGUGUCCACGGCCGGGCACGCACGAACGCUCAAGGCGUCGGCGACCACUGCCAGAAGCCGGCGGGGCAGGGAGCGGCCGGUAGCGGGCGGCGCCGGCACGGGGCUAGGCGUGGCCGGCGGCGGCCGGCACCGGCACGGAAGCCGCAGAGCUGCGCGCAGCAGUAGGCGGCGGAGGCGGGCAAGCAAUAGAGCAGCAGCAGGUGCGGGUGGGGGCUCAGCAGGCGAAGGGAGCAAGGUGCGGCUGCGGUGGUAGCCAGAGGAGGGCGCGCAGCAGAGGGGGCACGCGGAGCGCAUGGUAAGCGCGGCACGGUCGUGGUGAGCCCGGGUAGGGUGGUGCGGGGACCUACGACGAGGAGGGGGAAAGAGGGGGGCCGAGAGAGAAGCUCACUAGAUGGGGCGAAGGCAUGCUCGGGAGGGGUCGGGGGCGUGCCGGAGCGUGGAUCCGCGGCGAGGCAUCGGGUGGCGACCGUCGGUGAAGACCAGGA
Molecule: long non-coding RNA, 3249 nt
Filed under: Triticum aestivum (bread wheat)
Lineage: Eukaryota; Viridiplantae; Streptophyta; Magnoliopsida; Poales; Poaceae
Description: long non-coding RNA (TAES_LNC024134)
Source: RNAcentral